RNAcentral lists this transfer RNA (63 nucleotides) under Scolytinae sp. BMNH 1274282. RNAcentral's name for it is "tRNA-Glu". The record is from RNAcentral. Lineage: Eukaryota; Metazoa; Arthropoda; Insecta; Coleoptera; Curculionidae.
GCUUAUUUAGUUUAAAAAAAACAUAGCCUUUUCGAAGCUAAGAUAGAAUUAAUCUUAUAAGUU